Molecule: ribosomal RNA, 128 nt
Filed under: Pseudocoleophoma calamagrostidis
Lineage: Eukaryota; Fungi; Ascomycota; Dothideomycetes; Pleosporales; Dictyosporiaceae
Description: partial large subunit ribosomal RNA
Rfam family: Eukaryotic large subunit ribosomal RNA
Source: RNAcentral
CGGCAAAAGCUCAAAUUUGAAAUCUGGCUCUCUAUGGGAGUCCGAGUUGUAAUUUGCAGAGGGUGCUUUGGUGUCGGCAGCGGUCUAAGUUCCUUGGAACAGGACGUCACAGAGGGUGAGAAUCCCGU